Molecule: long non-coding RNA, 19094 nt
Filed under: Phoenix dactylifera (date palm)
Lineage: Eukaryota; Viridiplantae; Streptophyta; Magnoliopsida; Arecales; Arecaceae
Description: long non-coding RNA (PDAC_LNC006241)
Source: RNAcentral
CCUCCUCACCGCCAUGUUCUCGUACCGCGUGGCAGCGAUGAUGCCACUGCCCGUUGCAGUGGUCGUGUGGGCCAUGGCUGGGCUCACGAUUGCUGCGGGCUUCUACGCCUUCUUCAUUUACAAAGAGAAGACGAACCCCAUCGACGUCCCAAACCCUUCGAAGGUCUGAACAAAGUGAGCGUGCAGCCAGCCUUCUGGAUCACCAUUCUACCACGCAACUUUUUUUCUUUUUUUCUUUUGAUCCCACUGUGUUAUGAAGGCAUCCUGAGACUUGCAGUAUUUUAAUUCCUUUGGAUGUAUCCACACCACAAAUAUAUAAAUCAUCCAUUGUAGUAAAACAGCUCGAAACUACUGUUAAAAAAAAUAAAUAAAUAAUUAUCUGUUCUCAGAUUUCAGCCCUUUGUUGUGGCUGUUGUGGUUUUUUUGCUCACGUAUUUCUCACAGGGAAAAAGAAAAUAUCCAAGAAUUGAGUGGCAAUAUUGCUUGCAUAGAGUAAAUCAACUAGGGGUCUAAGAGGCUUUGUUGUGGCUCCUGCAAAUUUGAGUCCGGCAUGGGAAGGCAGCAGUCAUAAAUUUUGACAUCCUCUUCGAUGACAUCUCACUUCAAAAUAAUCCAUGGACGGUUGCCAAGAAUCUCCUUUCAAAAUCAAAUUCAAAUCAUAAAGACAUGCUUUAAGUAUUUCCGUGCUGCUAAAGCAUCAGUAUAGGGGACGGUAAGCUGAUUCAACAAUUUCCAUUUCCUCAUGACAAUAAUUUUCUAUAAACCACAUUUGCUGCUUGAUUCAUCAGCUUACAAGAAGAUGGUUCCAUCAAAGUUAAUCCCCUGGUUCUUCUAAGGAGCUUCAGCUUCCCAUAAUGAAAACAUGCAUGCAGUACAUAAGAAAUCCUGGACCUACCCAUUCUUCUUUCCCAGUUUUGACGGCGACUACUGACUUAGGGCACUCCAAGCAUCUAAAUUUUUCCAAGAAUCCGCUGAGAAAGUUCAAUACCUUCUAGUUGAAACAUGAUUUUCACCUCAUAAAUGCCCUAUCAAUUCCCAACCGCCCAACCACUAGGUACCUUCCCGUGUCGACAACAGCACCAAGAAUCCUAUAGCUUGAUGCAGAGCACAAUGACAAGAUCGUUGACGAGGUCAGACAAGGCAGAGAAGCAGAACCAAUUGGAGCUCAUUACCUGCUGGGCUGAUAGCUGAUCUCAUCCGUUUCAUCUUGAUCCUCAAACGCUUCUUACAAGAUCGUCCCACAUUUGCCGAAGCAGCAAUUGUUUUAUUAGAAAUCUUGCAACUUUGCAGCUGUAUUACAUCCACACAUAUUACGCGUCCAAACUCUGAUUUUUCUUUGAUCUUGUGGUGUAGAUAUACACAAUGACGAUCGUGAGCUCGACUCAACUAUUUUGCAUGUUAAUGUCGCUAUCCCUUUGUAUUUGAUUGAAAUCAGAAAUGCAUCUGCCGUCCAGCCAUUUACUGAAGACAGAAGAUGGUGAACAGAAAUUGAUGCUUAUUUUAUGAACUUUGGAACCCGCCCUAGCUAUUCUAUUGCUUAGACGGCCAACAUUACAUAUUCGCACAAAUUUAGCCUCUAUUAUAUUUUUGAUAGACACCUAAUACAAGUCUCAUAGGCUGAAAGACAAAAUUGAAAACAGCCGGUGAGGAUUAGGCCUCGUACAUUAAAUCUUUAAUAGCCCUGGCACAAGGGCCAGACUGGAACACCUAGCAGCAGCAGCCUAAACCCGUGGACAACUAAUUUCCAACACGACCGCCAACGGGUCGCUUGAUGGACCUGGAAGUCGGCAUGCCCCUUUUACAAGCUUCUCUGAACUUUUGCCUGAUGGAAUGCAUCAAAGUUCUUUAUUUGCGCAGUUUACAACUCAGCUCUGUUUUGCUGCAGGAGCAAUUACUAAUAGCAUCUCCUACUAACAUGUGCUAGGAUUGAAUGACACGUUGUAGACUUACAAUUCUCAAUUCAAAGAUCAUUUCUCUUUAUUACUAAUCCAAUAGGUGCUAUCUGCUGGUAGAUGACUAGGAUAGAAUGUAGAGAAACAUUUGUUGGAUAGCUAAAUGAGUAAGCUACUCUCUAAGAAAAUAGUAUCUCCAAUAUCCGUCCAAUUGAUAAACCAACUCUGAACUGUAUGAUAUCUUGCUGCUGAUUCAACGAACAACUGACCUAGAAAACCAGCAUACAGUACAAUUGGUUGGGGUAUAUCAGUUCAACAGAUAGGUUUAUAAGCUGCUGGUGAUUGUAUGUCUGCCCUGUGAGAGCCUUAGAUCUGUACCAUCCUAUCCAAACAGAUUAUAAUUGAUGAUUCAUAUAGAGAAUAAUAAAAGGUCCAGCCUAGUUAAAAAUUGUGUUCCAGAUCCAGUCUGACAUAAAAAGGGUCUGUUCAUAUCGGGCUCAUCCCCAAAACUUGGACUCUGUACAUCCAUUUGAGCUCCAGAAAAUCUGAUAUACAGUCCUCUAAGUCCUUGAGAAAUCUUGUCCUUGUGAACCAACUCUCUCCAUAUAUGUCAAUGAAGAGGUAUCAUCCAUGGGGGUCCUUUCCACCAUCCCAAAAUGGCCAAAGCCUUGAACCGAGACUCCUUUAAGUGGAACAAGGUUACCUUUCUAUACCAUGGUCAGGAGGAACAGUCCUCGGCAAUCAACAUUUUUGAAUUCCCACAAAUGUUUGGCAGCAUUUUGACAACAGCAUCUUAACCGGAGCAUGGAAUCACUUGAAGGAGGAUUCCAGCUGCUCGAGUCCAGUCAUGGUAACAGCAGUCUCAUGAAUGAGCUCCUUAAUUUGUUAACAGCAACUCUACCCGUUCCAAUCUUCAAGGCAGGAGGCGCCCCAAUUUUGUGGGGGAAUGCCUCCACUCAUCCUCAUCCUUCCCCGUAAAAUUCUUGCAUUAAUCUUUUCAUUAAAUUAAUGUUGCUUCCAGCAAACUUCUUAAAUCAUUUCCACUGAAUGGAAAGUCACAAUCUUAUUGAGAGAAAGAUGCUGAUUUGAUUGCUGAAGCUGGGUUGGUGGCUAUAACCUCAUCAAAGAUAGAAAAGGUUUGUGAAAGAUAGGAAUCAUAUAACAACAUUGUUCGCACAAGGGGGAAAGGAGGGAAGGUUACGUCUCCUGAGAUAAGUGAACUCAAGAUGUACAUCAACAUCAUUGUUGUUGAUUAUGUACAUCAAAGAUUAAAGCAUAGAUUCAUAAAAGAAUUCAAUAACCAUAUGGUGCAUCCUUAUGUGAUAUGGCUGACACAAUAUGGUACGAUAUCAUGCCAUCUGGUUAAGUAUGAGGGCUCAUACAGACGAAAAGGACCAUGUAGAUCCAUGUGGGUCCGUGUCGACCAGCAUAUCUUGAUGCGAUGUAGCACAACACUAUACAUCCAACAAUGUUCAGACUAAUGGACACUAGCAACUAAGGGCGCAUUUAGUUCAUGAUUGAGAAUCGGGAUAACCAUAUUUCCGACAUUUUUGGUUCGUGUCUGGAAUUGGAAUCGAAAUCAGAAUCAGAAUGAGAUUUGAAUACUAGGGAGAGUCGGGAUUGGAUUUUGAGAGAUUGUGAUGAGGACAUCAAAGUGAUCGUCCGCCCAUCUAGUCCACCAUUCUUAUUUUGGAUCUUAUUUGUGUUUUAUUUUUGGGCUUGUUUACAUUUUUAUUGUUGUAGGGCUUUAUUUGUGUUAUUUUUGGGCUUUAUUGAAAAUUAUUUUGUGCAAGGUUUUAUGUUAAUUGUUCUUAUUUGGGCCCUAUAUAUAGGGGACUCUCAUCAUGAUUAGGUUUCAAUGAAGUGAAUAAGAAUUUCUUUCCCCACGUCUCCUCUCUUCUCUCUUUUCCCCCCCUUCACUUCCCCCCUCUUCUUUCCUUCUUCUCCUUCUUCUUUCCCCCUUCCUCUCUUCUUCUUCCCCUUUCUUCCUUCCCCUCUCUCCUAUUAUCUUUGAUCUAUCGCCACAACAGCCUUUCCCGUCUUGGUGCUGCAUCAACUUGGUAUCAGAGCAUGUCGGCUUUGCCCCAGUUGUUUUCUCUCUUCUCUCCCUCAGUUCCCAUCAACAACCAGAACAAGAGAAAAAAUCCCCAUCGCCGGAUCCUUCCCACCAGCCUCCAGACUCGCGGUCGCCGCCUCGACCACUCACCGCCAGUUGCUCCGCACGCCACCAACGCCUCCUUGUCUACCAUCCUCCGACGCUGCCGCCCCGUUCGCGUCCGACCCCGCCGUUGCCAUCACCAACCCCUUCACCCAAGGCCGCCCUCGCCACCGAUCGCCGUCGGUGACUCGCCACCAGAAGCCGCCACUGGCCAGAGUCCGUGACCAGCCGCCGCCUGUCGCCGCAGAGCCCCGCCGUAGCCCGUCCCCGCAGCCACUGCCACGAGGAACGGCCCGCCCUCCCAAGCCGUCGAGAGGUUGAAGACGUUCUGCUCAACGGGUAAGAGUCCCCCGUGGUUAGCCCACAAUCCGGUAACUCGGAUCCAAAAAAAAAUAGUGCACAUGAGUUGCACGUGCGGGCUGUACGGAUAUCGGAGCGGGUUGCGUCCGAAAAUCUAAACCCAUAAAGGGUCAAAAAAAAGAAAAAAAAAAGUAACAUGUUUGUCUCCCUCCCCGUGACUGCCCUACUCCUCCGCCGCUUAUGCCGUGCCACCGAGCUCCCUCCCCGUUGCGCCGUCUCCGCUUCGCCACCGCCGUGCUUCACCUCCUUCGGCCGUCUCCUUCCCGCGGUCGACCGCAGACGACCGAAGCCAACCUUUGCCGAGCCCCGACGAGCUCCACCGCCGAGCCGCGCCGCCUCCUCCAUCCUCCGCCUGCUCUGCCGAGAACCGCCACCUCGGCCUCCCCCACCGUCGCCGCUUCCCAGCUGCUGCACCGAGCCACUGCGGUUCGGUUCCUCACCGCCGCCGAGCUCCACCCCUUCAUCCCCUCCACCUCACGACACUGGCCAACACCAGGCCACCCAGCCGACCAACCCCCCCUCUCCCCCAUCUCCUUCCAACGCCUCUCUAAAUCCUCUUCUCCCGAAUCCCACCCACUUCACACCUCCAUUUUCUUUCACGGGCCACCUCUGUCAUUAGACUCGAGCCCGUUUUCACCCCAACCCUCCUCGAGGACCCAAACAACCUGCAGGCCCGUCAGGCCUUUUGGGCCCGCCAACGCACACCACACCAGCCCCCUCCUUCGUAGGCCCUGUCUCAGGCCCGAUCCAGCACAUUCUUCAGUCCAUUCCAGGAGCCCAAGAGCCCCUUUUGCUGCAGGUCUAGGUCCACAGCUUCAGCUAGCUCUCUGCACUGCGCCCGUUAUCCUCUUUGCGCUCGAGACUCUACAACGGACGCUUCCGGUUGACUGCAUCUACAACAGGUAAUAGGUUCUUCCUUCUUUUGGGCUUGCUUAUCUAAUUGUGUUCUAAUUCUCUGCAUGAUGACCCCAUUUUGAAAAUUUACUUUACUGUCAAACUUCAAAACUUAGAACAUCUACUACCAAACCCAUCCUAUUCACCAUUUAAAUCUAGAUAUUAAAUUAGCACACCCUAGCGACAGGAUAUUUUUCAACAUCCGUCGAUCGGGUUGCUUUAGGAUUAGAACUACUGUAAAACAUACUUGCAACCUAACUUCUUAUAGUGAUUAAUUUCAUACUUUAAUUCCGAAGUAACCGAAGUACAAAUCGGUAACAUUUAAUUUUAAGUUACUUUUGUAAAAAAUUGCUGAUUUCCGAAUUCAUAGUAGGUUGCAUUAGUAGGUUGUUUUGCAUUACAUUUAGUCAGUUAGAGUUCAUUAGUAACAUUGCAUUUCAUAUUAUCAACUAGUGUUGUCAUCGCAUGCCAACCCAUAGCGGUAAGGAGCACCACUUCGUUCAACCUAAAACCCCUUGAGCUACCAUGGAUUCCGAGGCUCUACAAGAUCUCAUGGAACAGUUCGCUGCCAUUCAAGUUGACCAUGAAGAAUUCAAGCGAGAGGUUCGUGCACUAGUACGACACAUUAGGACUCCUGAGCCGCCAACCCCAAUCGCAGCCUAUCAUGAGUUCGGUUUGGCCGCACCACCUGUAGGUCUUUCCCAUCUUCCUAGGAACCAACAUCCUCCUGAUUACCAGCACAAUCUUGACGAAUGGCUACUGUGUACCGUAAGAGUAGAUGCCCCCACCUUUGCUGGUCAAUUAGAGCCAAGCGUGUAUCUUGAUUGGAGAGCAGCCAUGGAUAAUUAUUUUGAGUGGUACGAAAUGACUGGCAAUAGAAAAGCACGAUUUGCCAAAAUGAAGCUUAUUGGGCAAGCUCAUUGGUACUGGCAUAAUGUUGAACAUAUGCGUAGGACCCAAAGGCUUUCUCGUAUCACCACAUGGAAGGAUAUGAAGAAAAAGCUGAAUGAGAAGUAUCUGUCAUUCUCUUACCGACAACGCCUUAUGGAUAGGUGGCAGAAACUAACUCAAGGAACAUCAACCAUUGCAGAUUACAUUGCACGAUUUGAGGAGUUUCAUAUGAGGUGCGGUGUAAUCGAAGAGGAGACUGUUACUCUCUCUAGAUUUCGGACAAGAUUCCGUAAGAAGAUUUAGAAAGAACUAAUCCUCCGAGAGAUUACCACCCUUGGCCAAGCAUACCAGUUGACUCAAGAUGUGGAUAGUUUAUUACAAGUCCCUGUAGUGAGGCAUACCGACCCUUAACCCAAGGCCCCAAAAGCCCGGCCUAAUUAAAUUUAUCUUCCGCAACCCAGACCGCUUUCUAAUCCUUCUAACCAGCCCGGCCCUAGCCAAGCACCGACUAGGAUAUCACCGAUGCCUAUCCAAAAUCCUUCAAAUGAUAAAGAAAAAGACAUACUAGAUCCCAACCCUCAUUCUAGAAGCCAAACCCAAUGUUUCAGGUGCCAAAAAUUUGGCCAUAUAGCAUCCCAAUGUAAUACCAAGACCUAUCUAAUGACUGAACUCGAAGUUGAAACCCAAGAGAAUAAAUGUGUCGAAUAAGUCUACGAACCAAACAUCGAGGAUUUUGUAGAAGACUUUGAAGACGAACAGAUCGGGUUAGAGUUUAUCCAAGCUGAACCCCAAAAUGAGCUCACUGAUCCGCAUAACCAAAACUCUAGGCUUCAUGUGGUUAGGUAUACUCUAGCUCAUACUAAGACCAAACAAGAUUGCCGUAGGACCUUCCUGUUUUACACGCUCAUUAAGAUCAAUGGUAAAACGUGCAAAAUCCUAUUUGAUAGCAGGAGUUGCAUCAAUGCCAUUGCUUCCAGAGUUGUUUUCCGCCUCGGCCUGAAAUCUAUCCCUCAUCCCAACCCAUAUAAGGUAGCUUGGGUAGAUAAGACAUCCAUUUCGGUGUUGGAAAGAUACCUUGUCCCGAUUCAUUUCCUAUCUUAUAAAGACGAAAUCUAGUAUGACUGUAUUCCGAUGGACGUAGGUCAAGUCAUUCUAGGGAGACCUUGGCUAUACGAUAUGGACGUCACACUUCAUGGACGUUCGAAUUCGUGUAGCUUUAUGUUCCAGGAUCGAAAAAUUAUACUGAAUUCAUUGCCUCCUAGAGAGCCCGCCCCUGAAAAGAAGAGUGCCACUAUACGAAAAGACGAAAUCUAUUAUGACUGUAUUCCGAUGGACGUAGGUCAAGUCAUUCUAGGAAGACCUUGGCUAUACGAUAUGGACGUCACACUUCAUGGACGUUCGAAUUCGUGUAGCUUUAUGUUCCAGGAUCGAAAAAUUAUACUGAAUUCAUUACCUCCUAGAGAGCCCACCCCUGAAAAGAAGAGUGCCACUAUACGAAAAGAUGAAUCACUUCACAUCUUUACUCCGAAAGAGGUAAUGAAAGUUAUUGAAAGCCAAUCACCUGUGUUUGCCCUUGUGGCUAGAGCAUCAAUAUGGAGCCGAACCCUGAGCAUCCACCGACAGUAGUUCUUUUGUUGGAGGAGUUUCAUUAUGUUUUCUCUAAGGAUCUUUCAGACACACUUCCUUCGAUGCGUGAUAUCCAACAUGUAAUUGAGCUCGUUCCUAGAACAUCCUUACCAAAUCUUCCCCAUCAUAGGCUCAACUCAAACGAGCAUUUUAAACUGAAACGUCAAGUUGAUGAACUCUUCACACGAGGGUAUAUUUGUGAGAGUCUGAGCCCCUAUGUUGUACCCGCACUCCUCACCCCCAAGAAAGAUGGUUUUUAGAGGAUGUGUUGAUAUCCGUGCCAUCAAUAAAAUCACGAUUAAGUAUCGUUUUUCCAUCCCUAGGCUGGACGAUCUCUUAGAUUUUAUGUCUGAUGCCACGAUUUUUUCUAAGAUUGAUCUGAAGAGCGGGUACCACCAGAUUCGAAUUCGUCUCGAAUAUCCAUGGCAAGAUGUCAGUAUGGACUUCGUGUUAGGACUUUCUCGUACCUCUAUCAAGCACAAUUCCAUUUUUGUGAUUAUGGACCAUUUCUCCAAUAUGGCUCACUUUUUUCUUUGUUCUAAGACUUCUGACGCUUCUAGAGUUGCCAAACUUUAUUUUAAUGAAGUUGUUAGAGCUCCUGACUUUCCAAAAUUUAUUAUAUCUGAUAGGGAUGUUAGAUUCGUGAGCUACUUUAGAAAAAUUCUUUAGCACAUGAUAGGCACCAAACUAAAAUUUUCUUUUGCCUAUCAUCCUCAAACCGACAGCCACACUGAAGUUGUCAACCGUAGCCUUAGAAACUUGUUAAAAUGUCUGCAAGGUAAACGUGCUAGGACCUGAAAUUUAGUGUUACCGACAGCCGAGUUUGCAUAUAAUAGUUCGGUUAAUAGGUUCUUAGGCAUGAGUCCCUUUGAAUGGUUAUAAACUUAGGCAGCCCAUAGACCUAAUUUUUAUGUCUCAUCAACAUAGAGUCUCUGAGUCUGCAUAAUCAUUUGUAUCACACCUGCAUUCAUUGCAUCAGAAAAUCAGCAAACGUAUUCACUCUAAUAACUUAAAAUAUAAAUCCCUUGCUGAUUUGUACAAACGUUAUAAAGAGUUGAAUGUAGGAGAUUACGUCAUGGUGAGAAUUCAACCAGAACGAUUUCCUUCGGAAACCAUGAGUAUAAAAUCAAGCAACCAAUCCAACUCAACCUUCAUAUAGCACUUCACAAAAAAAAAGAAAAAAUUGCAAGUUCUAAUUAGUCAACUCAGGAAUCCAUUAUUCAUGCGUGAGUUCUAGAAGAAAAUAUUUUCAGCCAAGGACUUUUUUGCCGGAACCGGAGCCCGGACCGGUUGCCCGGCCACACGGGUCAAUACGGCCCUGUGCUGUUCUGUGCUAGGCCCGUACCGACACAGUUGAGGGGGCGAAGGAGGGGGAGAGUGGGAGAGAGAAAAAGAGAGAGAAGGGAGAGAGAGGGAGGGAGAGAAGAGGGUGGCGGAGGUCGGCGGAGGGUCGACGAGCCGUGUGGAGGGGCGAAGGAAGGGCUCUGCCUCUGGUCCCCUAUUUCAUUCGAAACGGGAGUCCCAGAGGGGCCCCCCUUUUAUUUUCGUUAUUUUUAAGUGAAGUCGACAAACUCCUCCUUCUCUUUCUUUCUCUUUCUCUCCCUCCCUUCCCUGCUCUCUUUGUUUUUCUCUCUUUCCUUCUCCUCUUCCUCCAUCGUCGGUUUCUCAUUUUGGUUGCCGGAAUCGUUUUGGUCUGCUGCCGGUACGGCUCGGUACACUCCGAAUAAAGCAGUUUGGGACGGUUCCGCCGACUAUGUUUUCAGCAGAUACAUCCUUAGAAUGAAUUACAAAAUCAUUCCUUAGGCAACAUCAACUACAUGACAUGCCAACACGGCCUUCAAACUCGGCUUGGUUUCCAGAGCUUAUACUUUGUAGUCCCAUUAAUGUACCAUCAUGUACGAUCUCGCUAUCUCUCUCUAUCUAUCUCUCUCCCCCCUUUCCUCCCACCACUCCCCAACCCCCUUCUCUCUAUCUAUCUAAUUAUACACAAAAACAGAAAUUGAAUGCAUGCAUUUAUAUCUGCAUUAGCCUCAAAUUCCAGGUCAAAAUUGACGGUGUCAUCUGCAGUCAAAACUUCUAAAAAAUCACACAAUUGUUAAGCAUUCCAAUAAUCCCGAAAACUUUCACAUGCUUGUUGACUGGAAUAAUAGUUGAGCUUGUUUCAAUAAGUCUCCUUUCUAACACAAAUUUCUUGCUAACAGCAAUGACCUUAUCUCAGCACCAUUAGUUUCUUAAACAGACAGAUAUGAAUAUCAAAGUCUGCAACAUUAUCAACAGUCGGACUUUUUAUGGAUCUAUUUAGUAGCUACCAGCCUUGCUUUCAAGAACAGAAUGAACUUAAUGCUAGGACUUCAGUCCAUUCUCCAUUAUUACUCAUAAUAGUUCUAUAUGAAAAAAAAAGCUUUGUACUUUGGGGGAGUUGUUUCAACCUUAUCAACUAGCUUCCUAAUAGUUCACAAGAAAAGAAACACUAUGAUGCAUAACUUUCUUCUCCUAAACCCAAAUCCAAUAGGAUAUCUCAAACUUAACUUAAAAGAAGAACAUUCCCCAAAAGAAUAGAAAGCAGUAAGCAUCUUCAGAUCUCUUGCUAUACUCAAAGGUGACAGCCAUCAUUGAAAUGGCACACAACAAGCCUAUUAGAUGUAUGAAAAUUGCUGAAACUGUCACUAAAACAUCUCAGAAUUUGAUCAGCUCAAGCUCUAUGAAACAAAUCACUUGUGAUGUGUUCCUGGAGAAAAUUACAUACCGUGUAUUUUUUUUCUUUCUGAAUUCCAAGUAGCAGAGCAAAAUGUAUCUUAAUGAGUAUGUUCAUUUUGUGAAACCUUAAUGAAAAGCAUAGAGUUGCAUGCACCUAUCAAGACAUACUUAGUCCCUUUUAUGAUUGUUUUCAUGUUCCUUUUAUGAUUCUGUGUAACACCCAAUACAAAAUCAAGUAAUUCCGGUAACUUCUGAUUCUUGAUAAACCAUUUGCAAAUUCAGAUGAAUUUAAAUGACUUGCUGCAUGUUGUUUUUAGGGUUUUUUGCAUGAAUACCUUUCUAAAAAUUUAAAUUUGCGUAAAUACCCUCUUAAAUUUAUAUUUAUUUCUGUAUCCUCAUAAAACACUGUUUUUGCACAAAUGCCCCUUAAUAUUACUUUUCUUCUAACACCGUUAAUAGAAACUAUAUUUAUUUUAAUUAAAAAUAAAAUAAAAUUUUUAUGAAGUUUAUGUCAGCCAUAGAGCAUGAGAACUGAGAUUCUGAGGAUAACGUGUAUUCUAGAAAACAUAUUAAAUCCCCAAACACUACCACUAGAGAAGUUUACUAGAAAGAGACCUAGUGAUCAUGAUUUCAAAGAAGGCCCAAGCCUAAGCAUGUAUCUUAAAAUGGUCUUUUGUGGAAAGAGACAUUGAUAUAGUGGCCCAGUGGCCACAUGAAUUCUUCCAACUUCAUGAAGACCAUAAAUCUCUCCAUUUGGACAUUACCAUAUCCUCAUACUUGAAGAAAUUAUGAAGUAGCAUUUCCAUGAUUUAGGUUAUUGAAGAAUUAUGAAGUAGCAUUAACCAUGAUUGUCGACACUCUACACACUCCCUUAUUAUAUGCACUGCUUACAUAUGGAUAACUGAAUUGGGUAAUUUAAUCAGUAAUCUACUAAAACCAUAUAUUAAAACAAGAGCAAAAUGUAUCUUAAUGAGCAUGUUCAUUUUGUGAAACCUUAAUGAAAAGCAUAGAGUUGCAUACACCUAUCAAGACCUAUUAUUUAUUGUCUAAGAAUAUUGAUUUAAUCAUUCAACAUUAUGACCUAUUAUUUAUUGCUGAAAGUAGGGGGGACUCUAAAUACUGCUAGCAUGGGUAAUAACCAAAACUUAAUCCUAUCUCAUUGUAAAUGUCAACUCAAUCUUCAAAAUUUCACUACUUGAUCUUCCUCCUAGAUUGAAGAUACGCCCGACCAAACUCUUCUUUGAAAAGAAAAUUUUUACUAUGACUAAUCUGUUUUGAGCCCUGAACGUUGUUAUAGAGAGAUAGACCUACAUCAAUUGUAUGCAACGAACCCCUUAAGGUGGUCUCACCCUCAUAGUACUCGUCAAGAGCUAAGUUUAACGCCUGACACACCAAAAAUGGACACGGCAUAGAAAGUUAUGGCCUCUGAAAGUUAUGACCAAGUGUUGGAUGCAGCUGAUCUUACUCCAAAGUCCCGUCCAAAUCUACCUAGCAUGGCUAGAGUGGUCUACAAUAGGACCACCAACACCAACACUAGCCAACCCAGACUGCAUAGCAAGCCAUAAACCACAGAGUAUGAAAUCAAGCAACCAAUCCACCUCAACCUUCAUAUAGCACUUCACAAAAAAAAAGGGACUCAAAUACAAGUUCUAAUUGGUCAACGCAGGAACCAAUUAUUCAUACACGAGUUCUAGAAGAAAAUAUUUUCAGCAUAUACAUCCUCAAAAUGAAUUUAAAGGUCAUUCCUUAAGCUACAUGAACCAUAAGACUUAUGCCUACAUGGCCUUCAAAUGCAGUUGCGUUUCUCAAGCUCAGACUUUGCAGACCCAUUAAUGUGCCAUCAUGUACAAUCUCUUUCUCUCUCUCUCUCUCUCUCUCUAUAUAUAUAUAUAUAUAUACAUAUAUAUAUAUAUAUAUACAUAUAUAUAUAUAUAUAUAUAUAUAUAUAUAUAUAUAUAUAUAUAUAUAUACUAUAUAUAUAUAUAUAUAUAUAUAUAUAUANNNNNNNNNNNNNNNNNNNNUAUAUAUACAUAUAUAUACAUAUAUAUACAUAUAUACAUAUAUAUAUACAUAUAUAUAUAUAUAUACAUAUAUACAUAUAUAUAUAUAUAUAUAUCCACACUUCCCUCCCUCCAUUCCCCAACCUCCCUUCUCUCUAUCUCUCUAAUUAUACACAAAAUCAGAAAUCCACUGCAUGCGUGCAUUUAUAUAUACAUUAGCCUCAAAUUCCAGGUCAAAAUUGAUAGUGUCAUCUGCAGUCGAAACUUCUAAAAAUCACGUGACUGUUAAGCAUUCCAAUAAUCCCCAAGCCUUUCACAUGCUUGUUGACUAGGCUAAUAGAUGAGCUUGUUUCAAUAAGUCUUCUUUAACACAAAUUCCUUGCUAACAGCAGCGACCUUAUCAACAUUAUUAGUCUCUUAAACAGACAGCUAUGAAUAUCGAAGUCUGCAACAUUAUCAACAGUUGGACUUUUAUGGACCCAUUUAGUAGCUACAAACCUUGCUUUCAGGAAAAAUACGAAUUAAAUGCUAGGACUUUAGUUCAUUCUCCACUAGUACUCACAAUAGUUCUAUGUGAAAGAAAGCUAUGUACUUUGGGGGAGUUGUUUCACAAGAAGAGAGACACUAAAUCCAAUAAAUCCAAUAGGGUCUCUCAAACUUACCUUAAUGAGAGAAUAUUCCCCAAAAGAAUAGAAAGCAGCAAGCCUCCUAAGAUUUCUUGCUAUACUCAAAGGCGAAAGCCAUCAUCAAAGAGGCACAACAAGCAUAUGUAGACAUAUGAAAAUUUAUGCAGAUGGAGACUUCUUUAUACAUGACCAAUGAUGCCAGCAAAAUCCCUUGACCAUUUGUUCAUCAACAACCUUUUUCCACACAUCAGUAGGUCUUCUAUCACAAAAUACCUAAGAACAUGCCUUCAGUCACUCAUUCUCGAUGGCAUGUUUCCUUAAAAAAUUCAACCGGUUUUCAUGGAGAAAGUCUUCUCCAUGGGCAGAUGCAGCACAAUGAGCCUAAUACCAUAGGCAUAAUCCUCUUCCCACUAAUCAGGAGGAAAUGCAGAAGCAGAGCUUAAUUCCUUGAAUUACUCUUGAAAGGAUGUUUACAAGAGACUUUGUCUAAUUACACAUCCUGAGUGUAUUGCUGGCUUAUGAUGAUAAAGAGUAGCAAUCUUAUUAGCGAUGGAAUGGUUUGCUCAUUCCAUUCAAUAUAGAUCAACAAUUUUGAAUGGAAAAUCAUUUUGAUCACAAAUAAAAGAAAAUCUAUAAAUAAAUUGCUCUCUAUUUUAAAGCAAAAAGGUGGUAGAUAAAACUUGUUAAUGCAAAUAAACAAAAGUAACAGAGGAUAAAAUAAGAGCAGGGAUGAAACGAAACAUCUCGUCUCUAUCUUGCUUUAAUUGAUAUAGCAGGGGACAGUUUCUUUGCUGCCUUUCAUGUGACUAAGUGAAGAUAAUGGAACAGGAACACUGACAUGUAAAACAUCAUGUGUUUCACAACCAAACAAUGUCAUUCAAUUUUUGCACAUCCAUGAAAGAAAAGGAUUCAGUGCAUGGUAAAAUCUAAAUAGCUAUGGGUUAGAGCUGACACUAAAUAACAUUAUAUAAGCAAAAACACAUCAACUCCUUUAAUUGAUAACAUGUCUAUCUCGGAACAAAUUGAAGGCAAACCUUCUUCAAAAAACUAAGAAUUACUCACAGUACCAACAAGAAAACUAAGAAUUACUCACUGCACAAAGAGAAUCUUCAUCCUACGACUGCGAUACUGUUUAAACCCACUUACUUCAAAACAAAUUUUAACUGUUUUAAAAAUGUAUCAAAUUUUUAUUCUUUAUUUUUAUAUCCCGUUAGAAAUUUUUAACGUUAGUAUAAUGUCCAGAUCCGCUAGGGAGUUGGAAAGGGAGAGUAUCAGAAGGGGAAAAAAAAAAUCGCAACCAGAAAGUUCUUUUUUCUACUUUUCUAAAUCCUAUCAACAAUCUGUUUCUUGGGACAACGGGGACACCGUCUCGUUCGAGGGGGUGAGAUUUACAACUGCCAGGAGCCUGGGAACGUACCUAAUGCAAAAUCAUCCCAAAACAUUUCUUUGUUCCUUCCAUCUAAUAGCUUAAUUUAAUUUAAUUUUCUGUUUAGUUUUUGUAACAUUGCGAUCAAUAAUCAAUAUAGAUAAAAGAAAACGCCAAAACAAUCUCCAUACUGAAAAAUCGACGAUCUGAAAAUUAGUGAUUUGACAGAAUCAUCAAGACAGAAACAAAACCCUAGCGCAAAUUAACAUCUUAGAGGACGAGUUCUUGUUGCCUACCUGUUUCGACGCCAUCGAACCCUCAAGAUCUUGCAAUCGCCUCUGCGGAGCCACCCUAUCAUCCAUCCGAGCACCAUGGGAACAAAAGCACAAGAAUUUUAUACCUGUCAAGGAUUUGGUACAUUGCUUGAACUCAAUUAGAAAGGAAAAAGCAAAAAAGAAUCGAAAACCUAAGAAAGAAGACGAAGAGCACCGAUCUCAAGGAAGGUAUAAAUCACUACGAAUCUUAUAUCUAUCCGGAUCUCUGCAUCCUGAUCAGCGUCGGAGGAACGGGUGGCUGCCGCAAGAGAGAUCGAGAUCCUUGAUAGGUCGCCGCCGGCCGCCCGUCGAAUUCUCGCGGAUCGGGGAAGAACCAAAACCCUAAAUUGGAUUUGGGUGGAGCAGAAGAAAGAAAGCCAGCUGAAGAGCUUUUCGGUCCGCUCCCGAAGAGCUUUUCGGUCCGCUCCCGAGGAAGCGAGGAGGGUUUUAGAGGAGAGAGCCGUGGCUCGUAGUAACGGUCCGUGGGGCCCGCAAUAUGGGACGCAAAAAUUCAACGGUGAUGAUUAAGUCUGACGGAACUGGACGGCUUACAAAAUAUUUCGCUCCAUCGCCCUCUUUGGUUACGUCCGAGAUUGGGCUUGUCGUUUUUUUUUUUUUUUUUAAAGAAAAGAACAAGAGCAAACGGAUGUGAUAGGACAGCGCUGCUGGGAAAGAGGAAACAAGUGUCUUAGUGAUGCUGCACACGUGCAAUGGCCGGCCGCAAUUUUUUUUACGGCUGAUAAUCCAACUUUAGGAGGGGUGCGGCCAACAAAAUUGUAAGUGAAAAAAUAGCCUAAAGAUAAGAGAAGCUCCCUAAUAUGUUCAGAAAAUCUCUUCAAAAUACUAGACGGCAUAGAUAGUAACUCUGUCUGUAGCCCUGUUCGUUUUAUUUGGAAGGCGCUGCACUCUUCCGCUAAUGAAUGGAUGUCGCAAAGAAGGGGAGACUCUUCUCUCAUCCGCCCCUCCCCGCAUAUCCAGUCGACCGCCAUGGCCACAUCUUCCUCGAGAAGGAUCCGCUUCGCCCUCAGCACUGUAGCCGGCCGCGUUUUUAUCGCAUGCUUGUUGUACUUCGGGUUUCGGAUAAGUCACCUUGCGCAAUAAGGUGAGAUAAUGGCUUUCUUCAAUUCAUAACCCACUUAUUAAUCAGGUUGAGAAAAAUAUAGAUUAAUGUGCUCAAUUAUCAUAUUUUCAAAAUAAUGUGGAUUAAUAUCCAAUUCACCAACUUAAAUAUCGUAAUUUUAGAGUGCUAGACUUAAUUGUAGAUUCAUCUAUCUUAUGGAGAAAACAGAAAACUAAGGCUAAAAAUAGACUGCUAUAAUUGGAUGCCGAUAAGAGAGUAGAAGAGGAUAAAAUUAAUGAGGAAAAAAAUGCGUGUUUCUUAAUAACUCAAUUGUGAGUUGGUUUUCUUUUUUAACUAUUAGUUGCAUGGCUUUGUUAUUUACUUGAAGCAACCUUGGCAAAAGAUCGACCUACUGCUUUAUAAUCACGAUGUCCAAAAGUUUAGAACUAGGUUUUAAAGAUUUGUCCCAACUGUGGUAUAUAAACUCUAUGAAUUGAACCCAAGUAUGGCGUACUCAUGAUUGGAUUGGUUACAACUGACUCAAAGCUGACCUAAUUACGAAAAAUAUUAUUCAUCCAACUCCAUUUAUUUCAAAUAGAUUUGGAUAAGUUGGCAUGUCCCAAUAAGAACUUACCGUCAUUAAGAUAAAAGGUUUUAUAGAAGAUAUGGCGUAGCAUCUUUCUUUUUAUAUAUCAAUAUAAAAUAGUUGAUUUGCAUUUCUUUGUCGAUAUGUUUUCUUUCAUUUUGUUGAUACUAAAAUUGAAUGCGCUAUACAAUGCUUGUCAUUUCUCAGCCGAAUAUUUUUUUAUUACUUAUACAAUUAAAACAUAUAUUUAUAGUUUUGAAACAUAAACUUCUUUUCUCGGCCUAUUUAAAUUAAGAUCUAAAGUAGACUGCGUAUAUUUGAAUAGCAUAUAUCAGAUAGAUGUUGAAAUUCUCAUAUUACAGAUGGUUCCACCUCUAAAUGCCAUUUUUCUCAUCAUGUUUAUCCUGUAAAUCCUUCUCAUCAUGUUAGAACUGAAGUGAAAAAAAAAACCCAGUAUCGCUUGCUGGACUCCAAAACUUCUACAUUACAUUUGAACCAAAAAAAAAAAAAACUUCUACAUUACAUGCAGAGAGACAAGUAGGGUUUGGAAAAGAUACUAAAAUAUUAUUUUAAGUGGAUCCAACUGGUGUCAUAUUGCUUUAAAAAAAAAAUACAUAUCUUAUCAGCAAUCCAAAGGUACCUGUUAAUGCAUGCAGCGGUAUGUGACGUUAUUCUGUGAUUAGAGAAUCUUUUCUUGACGUCCCUCUCCCUUGUCCCUUCUACUNNNNNNNNNNNNNNNNNNNNNNNNNNNNNNNNNNNNNNNNNNNNNNNNNNNNNNNNNNNNNNNNNNNNNNNNNNNNNNNNNNNNNNNNNNNNNNNNNNNNNNNNNNNNNNNNNNNNNNNNNNNNNNNNNNNNNNNNNNNNNNNNNNNNNNNNNNNNNNNNNNNNNNNNNNNNNNNNNNNNNNNNNNNNNNNNNNNNNNNNNNNNNNNNNNNNNNNNNNNNNNNNNNNNNNNNNNNNNNNNNNNNNNNNNNNNNNNNNNNNNNNNNNNNNNNNNNNNNNNNNNNNNNNNNNNNNNNNNNNNNNNNNNNNNNNNNNNNNNNNNNNNNNNNNNNNNNNNNNNNNNNNNNNNNNNNNNNNNNNAAAUCACCACUUUUCCUAAAAGCUUAAGUUGAUAGGAUGAGGUAGUAUUUAUUUAUAUAUUUUAUAUUUUCUUACCACUCCCCCUCCCAUGUGGGCCGGACUUUCCUUUAAUGGGCGAGCCCAACAUGUGAAAUUUUUUAUAAUGGGGUUAAAGAGUGCGGAGACAGGGUUCGAACUCAGGACCUCUGCUCUAAUACCAUGUUGAAAUCACCACUUGUCCUAAAAGCUUAAGUUUUUAGGAUAAGUGGUGAUUUCUACAGUAUGAGUUCCAGGGCCAAACCUCGCAUGUUAUGUAGAGGCCAAGCCCAUUCCAAUAAACUAUUUGGUGAUCAAGCCCAAUCGAUGUCGCAUUCUUUCGCAACAUAAACCAUUGGAUUGCAUUUUGCACAAAUCUCAAAGCAGUCCAAGUUCUUCCUACAACCUACCUGCACAGCUCUCAAAACAGCCAAUAUGCGAUCUAAUGGUUGAUGCUUCGAAUCAUUCUAUCGCAUGAAAGAUACAAUCUAAACCCUAUGUUUAAGUGAUAAGUAUAGAAGAAUGUUGAUUUCAGCUCUUAUUUAUGCCUACUUCUCCGCUUGGCACCUGAACUUGCACCGUAGGGAGUUUGUAGCCCGCCCAACCUGAUAGACAUGCCUAAAAUUGUCUGUCUCUCUUUUCGUAUCAAAACAAAGCUUCUGUUCUAGAAUAGUGCUCUUUUUAAGAGUAGACGUGGAGAGGAGAAACUUGCAAGUAGAAAUAAUCAAAAAAUUAUAAAAUUUAAUCACAUUUUUGUUGAAAAAAAGAUGUUUUUUAAUAAAAUAAGAGUCGGAGAACGGCUUGGCUUUAGAAAGUUUUUUUGGGAAAAAAAAAGGGGUUCCCAAUGCUUCUCCACACCCAACGAGAUGCACCAACCUCGGGAUGCUUUACUCCUACCCCCUCCCUCCGGGCGCUAUCUUAUAAGCAGACGCAACUAGAAGAUAUUAUUGUUUUUAUCUAAGUUAGAAGCUUUUAUAUAGCUUAAACCCUUUUCUUUUCUCAGGUAUUAAAAAUAAUCUUUCUAAAAUGUGAACGAGAGAACCAGAUUGACCCUUGCAAUCCACUUUCAUAUAUAUACUUUGGCGCAUCUCUGAACAAGCAAAUCUCAAUGCUUCUGUCGGAUGCGCUAAUAGCAACGGCUUGAGCGCCUUUUGGUCAAGACGGUGAUUUCUGCUUUUCAGCCUCUGUUUGCUAUAAAAGGUCGAAACUAUAACAAAUGAGAAGCUAUAUGGCUCAGCUCCAUCAUAAUUAUUCUGAUAUAACUAGCUCCAAAAAUAAAUGAAAAAAAAUAUCCCAUUUCAUCUUAUAGAAUGGAGAGAAGAGCUUGCCUUUUAUGCCGGGGAAAGUUUCCUGUUGCAUCAGAUAAGGUCCCUCGUAUUCAUACAAAAUCUGAAAGGCUUAUUAGGAUCCUGUUUGGCCUUGAUGUUAUCUGUGUUUUUGUUUCUUUACAUGUUGUUGAUAUGCCAAAAGGUAGCGUUUUCAAAAAUUUCUUGUUACUUUCCAUAUUCAAUUUUACUCUUUUUUUC